GAAAUGUUCGACUACAUAACCCCCCCCCCCCCCCCCCCCAAAACGUUAUCCUGUGCAGAUUCUCAAUGCUUACCGAUCCCCCAUUUCUCUAUCAAGAAUAAUAUUGAUAAUUCAGAUUAUGGCAAUGCAGCACUGCAUUUGCAUUUUGUUGUUAUUGGUGCACCACAGAUUUAUAAUUCAGAGAAAGGCGUCAAUCUCAGAAGUUCGAGCCAUUGAUUCAGAAGCCAUACACUCUUGCUUACUUUCACUAUGUCGCUUCUUUACAACUGUUAUCGAUUGUUUCUCUCUGUUUACUCUGAGGCACAUCCAACCAUAUCUAUAAGAAGAAACUGGCAACCACAAGUGCCGGAAACUGUAUAUGUGUGGUGAAGUGAGAUCGCUUCCAUAUGCCAUAUAUAUCCACUUCAACGGAGCUAUGUGGUUCGGUCUUUUUCUUUUUGACUUAUUUCAUAUAUUUUUCUAUUUCUAUUCAGUUUGGUUUUCUAGAGUUCCAAAUGCCCGCUUAAUUUGUGGAUUUUACACUUUAGAUAGCGGUUUGAUUAGCAUGUUUUUAGUUAUAGUAGUUUCUCAAAAUCAAGGCAAUUGAAAAUGUCUGAAAAAUAUUGUUGUUAUAAAUUAUUU
This is a long non-coding RNA of Papaver somniferum (opium poppy), 621 nucleotides long. RefSeq lists it as uncharacterized. Lineage: Eukaryota; Viridiplantae; Streptophyta; Magnoliopsida; Ranunculales; Papaveraceae. The record is from RefSeq and is a predicted model, not a curated record. The transcript has 4 exons.